CUCAGAGUGAACGUUGGCGGCGUGGAUUAGGCAUGCAAGUCGAGCGAUCGUAGCAAUACGGGAGCGGCAAACGGGGUAGGAAUACAUCGGAACGUACCUUUUGGUUGAGAAUAGCGUUGGGAAACUGACGGUAAUACUCAAUAAAGUCGAGAGACCAAAGGUUUACUGCCGGAAGAGCGGCCGAUGCGAUAUUAGGUAGUUGGUGGGGUAAUGGCCUACCAAGCCUGAGAUGUCUAGGGGGUGUGAGAGCAUGGCCCCCACCACUGGGACUGAGAUACUGCCCAGACACCUACGGGUGGCUGCAGUCGAGGAUCUUCGUCAAUGGGCGAAAGCCUGAACGAGCGACGUCGCGUGCGGGAUGAAGGCCCUUGGGUUGUAAACCGCUGUCAGGGGGGAUGAAACCGUAAGGUUGACAGAGCCCCAGAGGAAGCACGGGCUAAGUUCGUG
This 447-nucleotide ribosomal RNA is filed under the name uncultured bacterium. RNAcentral describes it as "bacterial SSU rRNA". It matches the Rfam family "Bacterial small subunit ribosomal RNA", at positions 23 to 507 of the family's 1533-position model. The record is from RNAcentral.